Molecule: ribosomal RNA, 327 nt
Filed under: uncultured eukaryote
Lineage: Eukaryota
Description: partial 18S ribosomal RNA
Rfam family: Eukaryotic small subunit ribosomal RNA
Source: RNAcentral
CCCUUAGAUGUUCUGGGCCGCACGCGCGCUACACUGACGAAUGCAACGAGCUUAUAACCUUGGCCGAAAGGUCUGGGUAAUCUCCAAAUUUCGUCGUGAUGGGGAUAGAUUAUUGCAAUUAUUAAUCUUCAACGAGGAAUGCCUAGUAAGCGCAAGUCAUCAGCUUGCGUUGAUUACGUCCCUGCCCUUUGUACACACCGCCCGUCGCUCCUACCGAUUGAACGGUCCGGUGAAGCGUUCGGACCGUGGCCUUUGGACGGUUCGCCGUCUGUUGGCUGCGGGAAGUUCGUUAAACCUUAUCAUUUAGAGGAAGGAGAAGUCGUAACA